AUGUUUCAAGGGUGCGGCCUGUUCGCGUGCGUGAGCCGGCGCGGCGCCGACGUCAGGAAGCGGGGCGAGGCGGGCGCGGCCAGCUCGCGGGUCGCGGCGGAGCCGGCGGUGUGGGAGGAGGAGGAGGAGGCCGGCGGCGCCGCCAGGCGGAUGGCGUGGGCGGAGGUGGAGUCCGCCACGGGGGCCUUCUCGUCCCGCGUCAUCGGCCACGGCGGCUUCAGCACCGUCUACCUCGCCUCGCUCUCCUCCGCCCGCCUCGCCGCCGUCAAGGUGCACUGCAGCAGCGAGCGCCUCCACCGCGCCUUCCGCCAGGAGCUCGACGUGCUGCUCUCCCUCCGCCACCCGCACAUCGUCCGCCUGCUCGGCUACUGCGACGAGCGCGACGAGGGCGUGCUGGUCUUCGAGUACGCGCCCAACGGCGACCUCCACCAGCGGCUCCACGGCGGCGAGGAAGACGCGGUGCCCCUGCCGUGGUCGCGCCGCGUGGCGAUUGCGUUCCAGGUGGCCACGGCGCUGGAGUACCUCCACGAGGGCCGCAGCCAGGCGGUCGUCCACGGGGACAUCAAGGCGUCCAACGUCCUCCUCGACGGUAACAUGGACGCCAAGCUCUGCGACUUCGGCUUCGCGCACUCCGGCGUCUCGGCCACGGCGGGCCGCGGCAGGUCGUCUGGGCGCGCCAUCAUGGGCUCCCCGGGUUACGUCGACCCCCAGCUCCUCCGCACCGGCGUGGCCAACGAGCAGAGCGACGUGUACAGCUUCGGCGUGCUGCUGCUCGAGCUGGUGACCGGGAGGGAGGCCGUGUGCCGCGAGACCGGACGCCGUCUUACCGCGGUGGUGUGCCCCACGGUCAGCGACGGGAACGUGGCCGAUGUGGUGGACCGGAGUCUCACCGGCAAGUACAGCGCCGACGAGGCGGCCGUCGUCGCGGAGCUCGCGAUGCGGUGCGUCAGCGACGCCCCCGGGCUCAGGCCGUCCAUGGCGGACGUGGUGCACGUGCUCCAGGAGAAGACCACCGCGUUGAUCUCGGCCGUCGGAUCCAGAUUGGACCGCAGGAUGAUGUUCUAG
This 1065-nucleotide ribosomal RNA is filed under the name Triticum aestivum (bread wheat). RNAcentral describes it as "partial small subunit ribosomal RNA". The record is from RNAcentral. Lineage: Eukaryota; Viridiplantae; Streptophyta; Magnoliopsida; Poales; Poaceae.